GCAGGGAUAGCUCAGUUGGGAGAGAGUCGGACUGAAGAUAUGAAGGUCGCGUGUUCGAUCCACGCUCACCGCA
This is a non-coding RNA of Picea glauca (white spruce), 73 nucleotides long. The record is from Rfam. NCBI's taxonomy places the organism in Eukaryota, Viridiplantae, Streptophyta, Pinopsida, Pinales, Pinaceae.